Molecule: ribosomal RNA, 801 nt
Filed under: uncultured bacterium
Lineage: Bacteria
Description: bacterial SSU rRNA
Rfam family: Bacterial small subunit ribosomal RNA
Source: RNAcentral
AGUCGACGUGAAGUCCUUCGGGACGAGUAAAGUGGCGCACGGGUGAGUAACGCGUGGAUAAUCUACCCUUAAGAUGGGGAUAACGGCUGGAAACGGUCGCUAAUACCGAAUACGCUCCCGAUUUUAUCGUUGGGGGGAAAGAUGGCCUCUGCCUGCAAGCUAUCGCUUAAGGAUGAGUCCGCGUCCCAUUAGCUAGUUGGCGGGGUAACGGCCCACCAAGGCAACGAUGGGUAGCCGGUCUGAGAGGAUGACCGGCCACACUGGAACUGGAACACGGUCCAGACUCCUACGGGAGGCAGCAGUGGGGAAUAUUGCGCAAUGGGCGAAAGCCUGACGCAGCGACGCCGCGUGAGGGAUGAAGGUUCUCGGAUCGUAAACCUCUGUCAGGGGGGAAGAAACCCCCUCGUGUGAAUAAUGCGAGGGCUUGACGGUACCCCCCAAAGGAAGCACCGGCUAACUCCGUGCCAGCAGCCGCGGUAAUACGGAGGGUGCAAGCGUUAAUCGGAAUCACUGGGCGUAAAGCGCACGUAGGCGGCCUGGUAAGUCAGGGGUGAAAUCCCACAGCCCAACUGUGGAACUGCCUUUGAUACUGCCAGGCUUGAGUACCGGAGAGGGUGGCGGAAUUCCAGGUGUAGGAGUGAAAUCCGUAGAUAUCUGGAGGAACACCGGUGGCGAAGGCGGCCACCUGGACGGUAACUGACGCUGAGGUGCGAAAGCGUGGGUAGCAAACAGGAUUAGAUACCCUGGUAGUCCACGCUGUAAACGAUGGGUGCUGGGUGCUGGGAUGUAUGUCUCGGUGCC